RNAcentral lists this ribosomal RNA (116 nucleotides) under Pteropus alecto (black flying fox). The record is from RNAcentral. Lineage: Eukaryota; Metazoa; Chordata; Mammalia; Chiroptera; Pteropodidae.
GUCUAUGGCCAUGCCACCCUCAACAAGCCUGAUGUCCUAUCUCGGAAGCUAACCAGAGUCGGGCCUGGUUAGUACUUGGAUGAGAGACCUCCUAUGAAAACCAGGUGCUGUAGGCA